UUGCUGCAUCUUGCAGAGCUCACACUGAAUAGCCUCAUCAAGUUGUUUUGGAAAUGGGUAAGUGUAACAGAGAGAAUAUUUAAUUGGUCAAGCCCAAGGAAACAGCACAGUACACAAGAAAGCUGCACAGUAUGUAGGCAGUCAGCUUUAUCCAGCACGCAAUCUUGUUGGCUGUCACUGUAAGAUUGUUAAAGCUUGUGUCCUAGCCAUCACUUGUCAUGAGGAUCUCUACAGAGGCAGGACCAUCUAUGUAUGUUUCUCGCUCUAGCCACCCAGGCUCUUGGGGCUUGUUGGCUCCAGGGGAUGCUGGUGGGCUGCUGCAUGCCUGAGAGAUGGCUGGGGAGGUACCAAAAAAUGAUGAGGUUACAGAGCUGAGAUUGAAGACGCUUUGAAGGCAGGAGUGGUAAUGGGAAAUACUGGAGAAGACUGAAUGUGAGAGGCAGAUUUUGCAGGAGAGGGAAGUAUAGAAGUGGAAAAGGGGGAUACAUGUAUGAGCAGAAGGGAGGUAAGACUGUUGUAUUGCGUGUGGGAAGAGAUUGGGAAUAUAGUGUGUGUUGGAAGGCAGGUCAGAGCUGUAAGGCAGGGGAGGUAUUAGAAUGUUGGUCUGUGUCAGAGGAGAUCCUCCCCAUGCAUCUGAACAAUUUACCAUCCAGUGGCUGAGUAUGCAGUCUGACAACUGACGCACGGUGGCUGCAACCCCAACCCACCAGCUGCUCAGCAAAAGCUGCUGCCUGAGGCUGAGCUGGAUGCACGUGUCUGAUGCCUACCACCAUUAACAAAAUGGUUAACUUACACAUACUCAUCUGUGUUGGCCCAGAGUAAUCUCCAAAUGGAAGAACCUCAUGGCAGGACAAGAUGCCCACCAACAGCACCAGUCAGUUCUGCCCCAGGUGAAAGAAGGAUUCAGCCAAUGGCAUCGCAAGGGCAAAUACUGGGUAUUAAUUUCACAGCUUUUCAUGCUGUAUGGAAGACACAUAGAACUACGUGGCCCCAAUCAGACAGGCAUCCCCAGAAAUACAGCAAAGGAGCAGGAACAUCAGCCAAGGAUAUAAGUGGCUCCCCCUACCUCAUGCACAAAGGCUGCCGCACAGGGGGGCAGAGCAGGAGAACCUUUACCCAGGGGCCAUCCCAUGCUACAACCUUCUCGUAUUGGUGUGGACCAAAGGACAGGGGAGCCAAGCUGUUGACGUCACCUCACCUCAGCCAUAGACAGGGCUCUCUCUCACACCCUCCCUCGCUGCCUGCACAAGGACGUGCUUGGCUGACGGAGGCCAAGCUGCGCUGCCCAGUGACAUCAGCUCUCCCGCCUUGGAAAGCUCUGUUUCACCACAAGAUGAUCUCAUCCAAGAUCUGUAAAGCACCAGUGGAAGAGGUACAGACAUAAAGAAGGUAAUGUUGUAUCCUCUGUACAUCAAUGGUGUUUAAAUAUGUGUUGCUUCUAUCUAUGUUUUUCAUUUGAAAAAUCUUGCUCCAACUUUAAUACUUCCUGGUUUACAAUAAAAAUGUAACCAAUGGUUUGUGUGGUCUUUUUUAAACCUCCAGUGAACCUGACUGAUACUUCACUAAGGGCAAGCUUUCAACCUCUAAUUACGCAGUUUGAGAAAGAAAUUGUUCACUUUCACAAAUCACAGCUCAGUUCUUGCAUUGAGCAACUGUUUGGAAAGGAAAAACAUUCAUGGGAUGUCUUCUGUCAGACCACAGUGCUAGAGAUUCAAGAGAAUCACCAAGAAAAAUGAAGUCAUUGUUAGCUGAUUUCAUACCUAUGCAGUCCGGCCUGGAAGUCCUGCCACCAACGACGUGUGCUACGCGAACAAAAUCUGGGAUUAAUUAAGUGAGAGUGAACUGCUAACCCAUUUGAACUGUCAUGUUGAAGGUCUGGCACAAAGGAUCCAGGAGUUUACAAAGACUAAUCACCAUCGCAGGGUCCUGUGGGCUACUCUUCACACAAGUGCCUCUGUAGUUAAAUGAGGCUUCAAAGUGACUGUUGCACACUGAGAACAACAAAGACAGAGACAAGGAGAUGUUCAUUGGACAUUGAUUUGCUUUUGUUCAAAGACAAUGCUUUGCUCUCUUUAUAAAAGCAAAAAUGAUCUUAGCUUUAAUGUCAUCUGUCUAAUCACAGCUUCACAGCCACUGACAUCCAGUGAGAAUAUAAACUAUACAGGACAGAUUGUUGACUCCUUGUUUAGGAAAGCUAACCAUUCCUAUUUUAAAGUCCCAUUUAUAAUUGUUUUAGACUCCACAAGAGAUUAAUAUCUGGGGUUAUUUUUUCAUGCAGCAUGUCUGCUAUCUGCUUAUUAUAGUGUCAGAAUUUUGAAAGUCACUUAAAUCACCUGGAGAUCUCAGCAGUAAAAUGAGCUCAAUAUAAUGACCAAAAGGAAAUUUCCUGUAAUUUUGUAGUUUGAGCAGUUGCAGCGUAGACUUGGGCGUAGACACUGAACCACUGAAGCAGGGUUCAUGCUGCAAGGUAUACUUAAGAUUACAGGGUUUUUGCAUGGUCUACAAAUACUAUCAGUUUUCUGGGGACUCGUUUUGGGCUCUGAACUAAUAAUUCUAACCUUGCUGGUGUCCUGUGCAUGUGUCAUGUGAUGAGAAAUGAUAUAGUUUCUGAAGGAAUUUUUUUUUUUAGUUUUGUUUUGUGAGCUCUUCAGAAGUUACACAUUAUCAAAGAAAAAGUAUUGUUUACAAUAAGACUAUUGUAAGGUGGUGAAGUCAAAUACACCAAAUAUCCACUCUUACAAACAAAAUUAACUAGGUUUUCAGGAAAGUGAGGUAAUUGCAACAUCCUAGAAGGAUUUGAUUGAAGGAUUUAUGGACUUUUCUGCCACAUUUUCUGGCAACACUGUAAGCAUUAAAUAUAACAACCUCACUUUAAUCUCAUAAUUCCACUCAGCUUGUUUCUUUCUUUUUUCUUUUUUUUUCUUUUUCUGUUAUUUUUCAUUAGUUCUCUUGCAGCCAUAUAUAAGACUUCUUAUCAAGAUCUGAAUCCCAUUUUUUUAUCUGCUUUAUUUGUGUAUGAAGACAAUUAAUACACCAGAGUUCACUGAAAGAAAUUGUAAUAGAUAUCUACUCCACAGCCCAUUAAGACACAAAGGUAAAGAGAGGAUUACCAGCAUUAGGACCACCUGGAAUGUCUUCAGCAUUGAGAAUUCAUCAGAAGAUGGCAUUGCAUCAGUUGGAAAACGCUUUGUGGUUAUGUAUUUGUUUCAAUUGCCUUUCAUUCAGAAGCAAUUUCAGGUCUUUGUGGGAAAGAAGGGCAUACAGGGUUUGUAGAAAAGCUUGAGAACCCAAGAAGCAAAGUUUUGACAACACUGUUUCGCAAGAGAAACUUCAAGGUUUUAUUUCUACUUGAAUUCUGAAAUAAAAUCAAAUUUUAAAAGCAACCCAUGAAAGAGAUGUGACCAAACUUAUCUGAU
Anas platyrhynchos (mallard) is the source of this 3416-nucleotide non-coding RNA. The record is from RefSeq and is a predicted model, not a curated record. NCBI's taxonomy places the organism in Eukaryota, Metazoa, Chordata, Aves, Anseriformes, Anatidae.